AAUAGAUACCCGGGUAGUCCUAGCCGUAAACGAUACUCGCUAGGUGUCGGCCACGGUGCGACCGUUGUCGGUGCCGUAGGGAAGCCGUGAAGCGAGCCACCUGGGAAGUACGGCCGCAAGGCUGAAACUUAAAGGAAUUGGCGGGGGAGCACCACAACGGGUGGAGCUUGCGGUUUAAUUGGAUUCAACGCCGGAAAUCUUACCGGGACCGACAGCAACAUGAAGGCCAGGCUGAAGACUUUGCCGGAUUAGCUGAGAGGUGGUGCAUGGCCGUCGUCAGUUCGUACUGUGAAGCAUCCUGUUAAGUCAGGCAACGAGCGAGACCCACGCCCACAGUUGCCAGCGUACUCUCUGGAGUGACGGGUACACUGUGGGGACCGCCGCUGCUAAAGCGGAGGAAGGAGUGGGCAACGGUAGGUCAGUAUGCCCCGAAUAUCCCGGGCUACACGCGAGCUACAAUGGUUGGUACAAUGGGUAUCUACCCCGAAAGGGGAUGGAAAUCUCCUAAAGCCAAUCUUAGUUCGGAUUGAGGGUCUGCAACUCGCCCUCA
RNAcentral lists this ribosomal RNA (550 nucleotides) under uncultured bacterium. RNAcentral describes it as "bacterial SSU rRNA". It matches the Rfam family "Archaeal small subunit ribosomal RNA", at positions 728 to 1276 of the family's 1478-position model. The record is from RNAcentral.